Molecule: ribosomal RNA, 468 nt
Filed under: uncultured bacterium
Lineage: Bacteria
Description: bacterial SSU rRNA
Rfam family: Bacterial small subunit ribosomal RNA
Source: RNAcentral
AAUGAACGUUGGCGGCGUGGAUUAGGCAUGCAAGUCGAGCGAUGAAGCCGUGCUUGCACGGUGGAUUAGCGGCGAAAGGGAGAGUAACGCGUAGGUAUGUACCCUCGGGUCCGGGAUAGCGGCGGGAAACUGCCGGUAAUACCGGAUAACGUGUCCGCACCAAAGGUGUGAUUCCGCCCGGGGAGCGGCCUGCGUCCUAUUAGGUUGUUGGUGGGGUAAUGGCCUACCAAGCCGAAGAUGGUACCGGUGUGAGAGCAUGGCCCGGCUCACUGGGACUGAGACACUGCCCAGACACCUACGGGUGGCUGCAGUCGAGAAUCUUCCGCAAUGGACGCAAGUCUGACGGAGCGACGCCGCGUGCGGGAUGAAGGCCUUCGGGUUGUAAACCGCUGUCAGAGAGGCGGAAAUGCAUAAGGGCUAUCCCCUGUGUUUGACCUAAUCUCAGAGGAAGCGCAGGCUAAGUUCGUG